Molecule: non-coding RNA, 4070 nt
Organism: Nothobranchius furzeri (turquoise killifish)
Lineage: Eukaryota; Metazoa; Chordata; Actinopteri; Cyprinodontiformes; Nothobranchiidae
Source: RefSeq, a predicted model, not a curated record
GGAUGAGAUGUUCCAUGAAUCAUUUAGUCAGCUGGAUGCCAAAUUAUUCAUUUAAUGUUUAUUUUUAUGCAAUGAAUGGAAUGGGAUGGAACGUUACUAUAAACUAUCCGGAAAUUUGCGCAUGUUUGCUCGAAGGAGAGAACUGUUGAAGCCUAAAGCGUUCUCCUAGACUUAUAAAUAGACACCGUUUCCUUAACUAAUGAAGAUAAGUGAUGACGCUGAUGUAUUCCGUUUUGAAAAGAAAAUAAGGCUUUACUGCAUGUCCGCUGCAGCUGAGAAUCCUAGGACAAUAAAGAUUAUAUUGACGUCCAAUGGUGAGUUGGGCUGAAAUCCAGGUUACUAAUCCUAUUAUUUAUUUAUUUAUUGAUAUUAUUAUUAUCUUUUUUUAGGCUAACUUUCUCAGUUAACUAUGUUCUACAGUAGUUUAGUAAAUUUUCCACAGUUCUGACAUUUCAUCAAUUCAACUGGUUGUUGCCAAAAAGCCUUGUUCAUUACCUGACUGCAGCAAGCACUCUUUUACUGGGUGUAACCAUAGGAAACAGUCUCUUUUGAGCCUCUCUUUGUAAGUCCAGGAUGACCACCGUCAUUGAUUGAAGUUCACAUGUUAGCACACAUGCUCCCCCUUUUGUACUUUGUUUCAUCAGCAGCAGGGCAAAUAAGUUUCUGCCUCUUUGUCCAUCUUGUAGUGCUCCCCGUCUUUAUGUUAUGAGUCACAGCUUUUGGUGAGGGCUUCCAGGUUCUCUUUGUAUAGAAGUCAGAGCCAAACAUUCUUUGCAGCUGGUUGUGACAGGCCCACCCAGUAAAGUUCAUGCCCCCACAAUGCACAGCAAACGUUUUCCUUAAAUAUGUUGAUUGAGUUGAAAGGACAGAACUUUCUCUUUUACAAAUCAAAAUCAACGAAGGUUUCUAAUAUUUAGUCAACUUUAUUGACUCAAAGGUAAAUCUAGACUAUUUCCUAUGCACAAUUUUUCUGACUCGUCAAAUCGGUUCUACACAGGUUUUAAACUUUAGGCACAAUCUAUCCCAAAUGCAAGAUCCCUCCUUUCAUUUUUUAUUUAUCUAUUUUAUUUUGGGAAAAUAACUACCAGUUUUUUACUCAAAACAGCCUAGUACAGUUUCUAGCCAGGUUACAGGAAAUAAUACUUAGUUUAUCUGUUUUUUCAUUAUUCAGCGUCCCAAAAUCCAGCCAUUAACGUUAAUGGUUCUUAAAGUUUAGGUAAGACAAUUAUUGGAUUUUGUUUUAUAGCAAGAUUUAACAAAUAUUUUAUUUCCUGACUGAUUAUUUGUUAAUUUUAUGGUUUUCAUAAAGAUGAUCCUGAGAGGUUCAGAGCUGCUUUUCGCAGUACCCUGUGCUAUUUUUAGACUGCGGGACUCCUGUGUGUAAAAGUGGGUGGAGUCAGGUCCCCAGGCUGAAACUCCAGUCAUUCUCACUAAAUCUGUCCGAGAGGAAGGAUCUCCUGAAUACCCUAACCAGAAGCCUUAAGUCUCUCGAACUAAAUAACCGUCUAGUAAAAACAUGGACCGCACCCUGUUUCUCAAGCAGCUGCUCCCUCUAUUAAAAACUGAGUCAUUCAGAAGAUCCAGCGAAAGCAGCUCAUGCAAGAAGACACACAUUCACUCAUUCACAAAGCACAGAGACAUUCUUUGUUUGUCACAGUCUCUUUUUAUUAUUAUUAUUAUUUUUUUAAGGUAAGUCAGUUCGUCACUUAUUUAUUCUCUCUCUAUAUAUAUAUAAUAUUUUAAGCACAGAAUUUAUUUAACACUGCACUGGUUAUUUUCAGAAUUUAAUGCUUACUAUGCUUUUAAGCAGGCCUUAUGUAACAUUAGAGCAAAUCCAAUUGCAAUUUUUUUGAGAGCGCUCUGAGGAAUAGUUUAUAUAUUUAUUUUCUGCAGAUCUGUUUUGAUUUUACUGUUUAGCAGCUAUAUGACUAUAUUUCUAAAAUAAAGCUGUCAUUUACAUCCUUACUUGCGUUUCUUGGUGGUUUUUUCCCUUUUUUCAUCUCCAGGUCACUUAACCCCCAGAUCGGGGUCACUCACAUGCUGCCCCACACACAAAUGAUUAUCACGCUUCUACACUACAUAUGUAUAUAUAUGUAUACACAUAUACAUACAUACACACAUACAUAUGCAUAUGUUACUUUAAAAACCUUUUAUUUAUUAACUUAUGGUGUUCUGUUCAAAGACUGAUCAGAACAGGGUUGCAGAAUUUGAAUUUUGCGUAGCUCCAAACAUUAAUUUUAGCACUGCAGUGUAAUUUACAUAUACGAGUUGCAACUUUUUAAAGCUCUUAUUUAUCUUAUUUAUUUAUUUUCUGGUACCGCAUCAGGCCUUCACACACACACCCAGCGCUGUACACACACACACACACACAUGGAGCUCCCAAAACUCUGCUCUGCAUUCUGCACUCUCCUAGUGCUGCACUUUCAAUCCAGAGCCGUAAGCAGCCUCUUGCUGCGCCUCACACACACAGGCUGAACUCAGCUUACACACACAGGAAGCUUGUCUACAGCUGUGCCUUUUUUCUCUUGAUUCUGCAGCCUUCACUUCCCAAAUCUUUCUCCAGUUACCUCUACUGUUAACAUCUACCCCUUUUUUCUUCAUCGCCUCUUCCGCUGACUUUCUCAAUAAAACCUUAUUUCUCGUGGCUUCAACUGGGCUGCUUGUCAUAUUUAAACAUUGCUCAUUUUAUGCAAAAACAGCCAAAAGCACGCAGAAAUAGCCAAAAGCACUGCUCUCUUCACACAGAAGCAGUCAAAACAUUUAUCAUCUUAUGCAAAAACAGUUACCUCAGAACAUUUUUCUCAUCUCAUGCAAAAGGUCCUUGACCUUAAAAAUCCAGGGAGCUCUCUUUUAGCCUCCCCUUCCCUUAACACAAAAAACCAGGUCCUUGACCUUAAAAUCCAGGGAGCUCUCUUUUAGCCUCCCCUUCCCUUAACACAAAAAAACCAGGUCCUUGACCUGUGGACUUUUAGGGUUCCCACACCUAUGGAUCCAGCCAAGCUUUAUAUAACCUUGUUAUAUAUUCUAUCCGCUCGUCAGCAAAUAGUGUGGUCAGCCACGACCUGGAAAUGGAACUUUAGGGCUACUCUAUUAGCCCUGGGUCACCAUCCCUUCAUCUGUACUAUUUCCUUUUCUCAUUUACUCAUUAAACCAUUAGAAAAAUCCUCAUUUCAUUUCACCAUUAAACCAUUACAAAAAAUCUCUUAUUCUCCUGCACUUGUCUCCACUUUCUUCUCCAACUAUUAUUUUAGGACCACAGCUACUGUGAUUCUGGACACAAAGGCUUUGGAUAAAUCCAAUGAGCAGAUUUUAGAUAAUAGGCUCUGCUCACCUUGUUUUCCACCGCGGUGUUCUGUGCCAAGAUCUGUUCGCUGGGUCGGUUGGUCAAAUUGUCCUCCAAAAACUCCUUUUUCUUCAAAAAGAAAAAAUCCUGUUCGUGACGCCAAAUUUGUUGGUCUCUCUUCCGUUAGACCAAGCACGGGUACGGAGUAGAUGGAGUUAAACACCUUUUAAGUUGACAGAACGAGGAGACAAAUGAUCAGAAGUCCAUUCACUGUUUCACCGCUCAUGAGGGGGAGAGUCUCUGCAGCAAGUCCCGCGACCUGCUCUUGCCAGAUGCUUCGGACAGACUCUCGCCGUUCUGCUGAAAACGGCUGAUUUUUAUUGAAGAUUACAGGAAUGUUACAUACGUAGUUUGCCAUACACACACGUAAUUCUGCCAUCUGCACCUGCAGACGCACGUCAGCUAAUAGCCUUGUUAAUGAAAGACCAAUUCAUCCCAAGGACAUGCAACCUUGAGAUGAUCAGGACACAUCCUGCAACAUCCUUUGCUAACAAAGACAGUUGUUCUUGUAUUGAGGAACUGAAGGAAGGAACGCUUUCACUCCCUUAUGCAGCUGUUCAGCUUGAGCAGAAAAGGCACAGAGAGGUUUUCGAUAUUAUAACAAGAUUCCAUGAAAAGGCAUAUAAUAAUGUAUUUAUGAUAAUAUAUAAGGGGCAAAAGUGAGAGAUACAUAUUUAAUCAUAUAAAAGAGCUUAUAAUAAUAUAUGAAAGAGCUUAUAUGAGAGAU